AGAGUUUGAUCAUGGCUCAGAAUCAACGCUGGCGGCGUGCCUCAGACAUGCAAGUCGAACGAUUAAGACUCCCUUCGGGGAGUGCAUAAAGUGGCGCACGGGUGAGUAACACGUAGGUAAUCUACCUUUGGAUGGGGAAUAACAACCGGAAACGGUUGCUAAUACCGCAUAAUGCAGCGGCACCUAAUGGUGACAGUUGUUAAAGCGGGGGAUCGAAAGACCUCGCGUCUGAAGAGGAGCCUGCGGCAGAUUAGCUAGUUGGUAAGGUAACGGCUUACCAAGGCGAUGAUCUGUAGCCGGCCUGAGAGGGCGGUCGGCCACACUGACACUGACAUACGGGUCAGACUCCUACGGGAGGCAGCAGUCGGGAAUUUUGGGCAAUGGGCGAAAGCCUGACCCAGCAACGCCGCGUGAAGGAUGAAAUCCCUCGGGAUGUAAACUUCGCAAGAACGGGAAGAAUAAGUAAGGGUUAAUAUCUCUUACGAUGACGGUACUGUUUGUAAGCUCCGGCUAACUCCGUGCUANCCGCCGCGGUAAUAC
This 540-nucleotide ribosomal RNA is filed under the name uncultured bacterium. RNAcentral's name for it is "bacterial SSU rRNA". It matches the Rfam family "Bacterial small subunit ribosomal RNA", at positions 8 to 526 of the family's 1533-position model. The record is from RNAcentral.